This is an unclassified non-coding RNA of Vespa mandarinia (Asian giant hornet), 2149 nucleotides long. The record is from RefSeq and is a predicted model, not a curated record. Lineage: Eukaryota; Metazoa; Arthropoda; Insecta; Hymenoptera; Vespidae.
GAAUGACGCCAUCUAUAAUAUUAAGUGGAGCUUUGUUGAAGUUUAUUUCUAACCUAACUAAAACGCAUGAUCGGACCUUGAGAUAUAAACGUGUAAAAUUAUAAAGAAUAAAAUAGUUGGAAUAAGGAAAUGAGUGAUGUCGAAUUACAAGAGGAAGAAAGAGAAGUGCUACUUUCUAUUUAUGAGGGUGAUCCAGCAUUUAAUCAGUUAACACCGACUACCUUCCAAUACAAGUAUGGAGAAGAUAAUGACAUGAAGUCAUUCCUAUUGGAAAUUUCAUGGAGUGCGACAUAUCCAUCUGAAAGGCCAAACAUCAAUAUGAAUACAUUUUACAAUAAGCACAUUGUGCAAGAAGUAAAGGAUGAAUUAGUGAAACAAUUAGAAGCAGAAGCAGAUCAAUGGUUAGGUAGUGCCAUGACAUAUACGUUGUUCCAGUAUGUUCAAGAGCAUCUUACAGAAUUAUUAUCUAUGCAACCAGAUUCUAUUGCAGAAAUAAAUUCACAAACCAGUAAACUUAAAAUAUCAAAUGAGAAUCAACAGGCGGAAGAAGCUGUAAAAAGGCCAAAGAAAGAACAACUAAGCAAAGCUCAAAAACGUAGACAAUGGAAUAAAGCAGAUGGAAAAGGAGAGAGACCACGAGGGUGGGAUUGGGUCGAUAUAGUGAAACAUUUAUCACAAACUGGUCCAAAACAGGAACAAGAGUCUUAGUUCAAAUUUUCUAAGACUACUGUACAGAUUUAAAAAAAGGUUUCCCCAAAAGGAAAACAGAUUCUUUUUUAUUAAUUUCUGCCGCAUCAAGAACGGUUUCAUGAAUAAGAUAAUAUUUAACUAACAAAGCAAGACGAUCUUCAUUUAAUGUGUUUAACCGUAAAGCUUUAACUGCUGAAUAAUUGGCAUAUAAAUGCACUGCCACCAAGAAGACAUAUAAUUCUAAUAAAUAUCUGUAAAGAAAAAAUUCAUACAAGACAGUAAUAAAUAAUUUGUAGAAGAGUAAAUCAAAUAAAAUUACCGUCCAUCAUAAAUGUACGACAGUAUGAAAAUUCCAACAAAAGAUGCAACAAGAUUAACACAGGUUUCUUGACUUCCAUCUUUAGCUGAUACAUCUGCCAAAUUGUUUUGAAACCUGAUGUUGCGUUAAUGCAGCUCUGGUUGCACCACCGGCUACACCAACAAUAGACUUCAUUGCGGUUGAAGCACACAAUAUGGCCAUUGAAUGAGCUGAGAAAUAAGGUAUUAGUAAUUCCAUGCCCAUUGCCACAUCAUUAAGAAUAUCCGCAAACAAUCUCCAUUUUUUACAUUGUCCAUCUAGGUCAGUCCUAAUAGAUCAGAAUGUUUAUAAUAGAAAGAACAAGUUACAUCGUAGAUUGAUAAUAUUUAAGAUUUGUCAUGUUGACAUCGAUUACAAGAUAAAACUUAUUAACAGUUUUUAUGAGCGGUUCACAUAGUAAAACAUUUAUAUAGCUUACCCGUUCCACCAUGCAAAAAUUAUGCGCCCGACCAUACCAGUUCCAUCUUUUAAAAUCCAAGUUAUUGCUGCAGCUAAAGGUGUCGCAGUAGAUUCUCCAACACCUACUCCUUGCAUAAUUGAAUGAGUUGUGAGAGUACCCAUUAUGGUACUUGCAAAUGCCUAUUACAUUAUUACAAUUUUUCUUAAAUUAAAUUCUAUUUUUUUUAACAUAUAACGACAAAUAGAACUCGUUCGCUCGUCUAUUCUUUUACAUAAGAAUUCUAACCUGCACUGUAUCCCAUAUUUGAUAAGGAAUGUAAUCAGGAUGAACACUGUCAGGAAAUCCUUGAGGUAAAAAAACGUCUUUGAUAAUCGACAAAAUUCCAGAUAAUAAGGACUUUGCAUUUUUCGAGCCAGUUUGUAAAUUAAUUAUCGACGAGCGAUCUAACCUCAUAACGACAAUUAUAUAUUAGAGAUAUGAUAAAUGUUAUUUAUUAAAGAUAUUUUUAAUAAAAAAAAGUAAUUCACCUUUUGAUCUAACAUAUAUAUUAUCUUCCUCGUUGCCAUAUAUUUCACUAAAUAAAAUUUGGUCCUGCAUUGCUAAUAAAAAAAUAACAUUUAUCGGUAUUCACGAGUUUACGUUUGCAAGCACGUUUUUAUAAAAUAGUAGAUGUUUAUUCGUUAUUAAAUUAUUUAUUAUUA